RNAcentral lists this ribosomal RNA (500 nucleotides) under uncultured bacterium. RNAcentral describes it as "bacterial SSU rRNA". It matches the Rfam family "Bacterial small subunit ribosomal RNA", at positions 28 to 517 of the family's 1533-position model. The record is from RNAcentral.
GACAAACGCUGGCGGCGUGGAUUAGGCAUGCAAGUCGCGCGACGCAGAGGGGCAACCCUUUGACGGAGCGGCGAACGGGUGAGUAACACGUGAACAACCUGUCCCUACGUUCCGGAUAAUUGACCGAAAGGUCUUGUAAUACGGGGGAGGGUCCAUCGGAGGCAUCUUCAGGUGGAAGGAACGUGCAGGAGCAAUUCUGUGCGGCGCGGGGAGGGGUUCGCGGAUUAUCAGCUUGUUGGNGAGGUAAUGGCUCACCAAGGCGACGACGAUUAGCUGGUCUGAGAGGAUGGUCAGCCACAUUGGAACUGAGACACUGUCCAGACUCCUACGGGAGGCUGCAGUCGAGAAUCUUGGGCAAUGCACGAAAGUGUGACCCAGCGACGCCGCGUGGAGGACGAAGGCCCUUGGGUCGUAAACUCCUUUUACGAGAGAAGAAUGAGCCGCAAGGCUUUUGACGGUAUCUCGUGAAUAAGCCACGGCUAACUACGUGCCAGCCGCCG